This is a long non-coding RNA of Beta vulgaris subsp. vulgaris (sugar beet), 582 nucleotides long. RefSeq lists it as uncharacterized. NCBI's taxonomy places the organism in Eukaryota, Viridiplantae, Streptophyta, Magnoliopsida, Caryophyllales, Amaranthaceae. The transcript is spliced from 2 exons. The record is from RefSeq and is a predicted model, not a curated record.
UAUCUCUUUUCUUAGCACAUAGGAUAGAGUGUAAUUAUGUACAACACAACCAGCUUUCAAAUUUAAAUGAAAAACAUCAUUCACCCAUCCCUUCAAAAAGAAAACAUCAUUAACCCUUCUUCUAUGAUUCUAUCCGUCUCUCUCUUACUUUGGCUUCCCACUCAUCCACAUGACCACAUCAUCAUGCUUCCACCACCACCAUAAAACCAUAGUGCCACCACUAUUUAUUCUCUACCACCUCUAGAAAAAAUGAAAGCAAACAAAAAGUUUAGAAUUUGAAUUGAAAUUGAAGAAUUUGAAAUUCCAUUAUUUGGCAACUCAAUAUCGUAAAUUUCAAUUGUAGACUUGUAUUUAAUGAAUGGAAGUUUCUGCAGACGAUGGAUGAGAGCAGAGGAAGAAGGGAUAAUCAUUUGUGGAACUGCCUUUGGAAUGGAUUGGUUUUGAGUGAAUUGCAGUUAUGUUGUUACCCGUGAUUUUCUUUUGCUUUUUUUUUCUCAGAAUUAAUUUGUUGUAAUUUAUUAUAGUGGUUGUAAUUUGCAUAAAAUAGUGAGGGCAAAAUGGGAUUUUAAUAUUUUGGUGUCC